AGUCACUGACAUUAGAUACCCGCGUAGUCCAGGGUGUAAACGCUGCAGACUUGGUGUUGGAGGCCCUUUGGGGCAUUCAGUGCCGAAGGGAAACCGUGAAACGUGCCGCCUGGGAAGUACGGUCGCAAGGCUGAAACUUAAAGGAAUUGGCGGGGAGCACCACAACGGGUGGAGCCUGCGGUUUAAUUGGACUCAACGCCGGAAAUCUCACCGGAUAGGACAGACAUAUGAUAGUCGGGCUGAAGACUCUACUUGAUGAUCUG
Molecule: ribosomal RNA, 263 nt
Filed under: uncultured archaeon
Lineage: Archaea
Description: partial 16S ribosomal RNA
Rfam family: Archaeal small subunit ribosomal RNA
Source: RNAcentral